GGGUGCCUGGUGCGAUCGAUCUGUUUUUCGGAUUUUUUUGUGGCAUUUUAUCGAACAGAUAAUUGGUCUAUGUUUUGAGUGGACAUUGGAUGGCCAGGAAGGAUCAGGUGACGACAAAACUAGGGUGUUGGUGGCCGCCGGCAAAGAUUACCUAAGAUCCAUCGUGGCAAACAGUGCUGACAUUAUUAUGACUUAUUUUCGAUGGGAUAGUCGGCUGGAAGUCGAGUUAUUGUAUUUGAAUGGUGAACGAUCGAAAACUUAAAAAAAAAUUUACUUAUUUAAAAUUAUCCAACGAGAGACCUUAUAAUAUUUUAGUUAGCAAGAAAAAGAGAACAAUCAGAGAAAGCUCAAUACGAGAGCGAAAAUUUAUAUUCAGAAAGCUUACCUGAUCUUCCAUUGCUUAUCGAUAUUUAUAAGAUAGAUGAUGCCGUUACUGUAUAACUCUCAUCUCUGAGUAUUCGGAACAUAAGAAUUAUAGCAUUUAGCGGACGAUUACUCCAUUAAUUGCCAUUAAAAUCGAGCAAUGGGCUACUCGUGGGUGACAAUUACACUAUAUGUUCGUNNNNNNNNNNNNNNNNNNNNUAAUAUUUUUUAUGAUAUUUUGUUUAAAUUUAUUUAAAUUUAUCAUUUCAAAUUAUAAUUUCAGUUUUCUUUUAUUUUUAUCUUUUUAGUCAUCAUUGGAUGGCCAGGAAGGAUCAGGUGACGACAAAACUAGGGUGCUGGUGGCCGCCGGCAAAGAUUACCUAAGAUCCAUCGUGGCAAACAGUGCUGACAUUAUUAUGACUUAUUUUCGAUGGGAU
Molecule: long non-coding RNA, 800 nt
Filed under: Elaeis guineensis (African oil palm)
Lineage: Eukaryota; Viridiplantae; Streptophyta; Magnoliopsida; Arecales; Arecaceae
Description: long non-coding RNA (EGUI_LNC016101)
Source: RNAcentral